UACAGAGGGUGCCAGCGUUGUUCGGAAUUAUUGGGCGUAAAGGGCGCGUAGGCGGUCGCGUGUGUCGGGUGUGAAAGCCCACCUCUUAAAGGUGGAAUUGCAUUCGAAACUACGUGACUAGAGUACCGGAGAGGAUGGUGGAAUUCCUGGUGUAGAGGUGAAAUUCGUAGAUAUCAGGAGGAACACCGGUGGCGAAGGCGGCCAUCUGGACGGAUACUGACGCUGAGGCGCGAAAGCGUGGGGAUCAAACAGG
This 253-nucleotide ribosomal RNA is filed under the name uncultured bacterium. Its description in RNAcentral is "partial 16S ribosomal RNA". It matches the Rfam family "Bacterial small subunit ribosomal RNA", at positions 524 to 776 of the family's 1533-position model. The record is from RNAcentral.